CGGCGUCACGAGUGGCAAUCACAUUUAUUGGGCCUAAAGCGUCCGUAGCCGGUUUAGCAAAUCUUUUGUGAAAUCGUCAGGCUUAACUUGACGAAUUGCAGAAGACACUACUAAACUAGGGACUGGGAGGAGUCAGAAGUAUUCUGGGGGGACCGGUAAAAUGGUAUAAUCCCCAGAGGACUACCGAUGGCGAAGGCAUCUGACCAGAACAGAUCCGACGGUGAGGGACGAAAGCCAGGGGAGCAAACCGGAUUAGAUACCCGAGUAGUCC
RNAcentral lists this ribosomal RNA (271 nucleotides) under uncultured archaeon. RNAcentral describes it as "partial 16S ribosomal RNA". It matches the Rfam family "Archaeal small subunit ribosomal RNA", at positions 477 to 747 of the family's 1478-position model. The record is from RNAcentral.